CAGAAUCAACGCUGGCGGCGCGCUUAACACAUGCAAGUCGAACGAGAAAAUUCCCUUCGGGGAGUGAGUAAAGUGGCGAACGGGUGAGUAACACGUGGGUUACCUGCCCUCGAGUGGGGAAUAACUCUGGGAAACCGGGGCUAACACCGCAUACGAUCCUUCGGGAUGAAAGUCUUCGGACGCUCGAGGAGGGGCCCGCGGCCGAUUAGCUUGUUGGCGGGGUAAUGGCCCACCAAGGCAAAGAUCGGUAGCCGGCCUGAGAGGGCGCACGGUCACACUGGCACUGAGACACGGGCCAGACUCCUACGGGAGGCAGCAGUGAGGAAUCUUGGACAAUGGGGGAAACCCUGAUCCAGCGACGCCGCGUGAGUGAUGAAGCCUUUCGGGGUGUAAAGCUCUUUCAGCGGGGACAAUCAUGAUGGUACCCGCACAAGCAGCUGCGGCUAACUACGUGCCAGCAGCCGCGGUAAUACGUAGGCAGCAAGCGUUGUUCGGAAUUACUGGGCGUAAAGCGAGUGUAGGCGGUCUGCCAAGUCUGUUGUGAAAUCUCCCGGCUCAACUGGGAGGGUGCGUCGGAAACUGGCAGGCUCGAGUGCGAGAGGGGGAGAGUGGAAUUCCUGGGUGUA
Molecule: ribosomal RNA, 626 nt
Filed under: uncultured bacterium
Lineage: Bacteria
Description: bacterial SSU rRNA
Rfam family: Bacterial small subunit ribosomal RNA
Source: RNAcentral